CAACUCGACACUAUGAUCAUCGUCCUUACUUUACCACGGCCCUCAGAAAUUCUACUCGUGUUCAGUCAGCACAGUAAGCAAGAUGGCGACCUACGCAGUUCCCGAGCCAUACAGAUGGGAUACCAGCUUCAUGGUGUUCUACGAACGUCUGGACGAUGAGCACAAGGGUCUCUUCCAGAGCCUAUUUGCUAUUGGUACCAACCACGGCUCAAAGGCCGCGCUGAAGAAGUGUCAGGAUUUGAUGGCUUCUCACUUCCACUACGAGCAGGGCCAGUCAUGACAGGGCAAACUACGCCGGCUUCAAGGAGCACAAGAGUUUCCACGACGGAUUCCUUGCCCAUCUGCCAAGCUGUCCACCCCGGUGUCCGACGAGGAAGUAUUCUACUGGCAAGAACUGGCUGGUGCAGCACAUCAAGAACGUUGACUUCGCGUACAGAGGCAAGCUGUAAGAUGUGACCCCCAAUGUUUUACGACUCGGCCUAAUGUUAGUGCAGCCAGCCGCCAUCUUUGACUGCGCAUUAGAGCUUUGAGGACUCAUGGUAAUCGGAUCUACUAUAUACGGGCUUCACUGACAUAGCUUCACCACUGCCAGCAACAAAGAAACGUGGUGCUAUCUUUCACCACCAAUACGUCAUUUACCGGCAAAAUUUUGGUCACUACACUUUCGUGGCCUCAUUUUUAUGAAUCACCGUGAUGUUUUGUUAUGAUACUCAACGACAUGAACAACACAAAGCCAGAUUUAUGUUUGUUUCAGUAAUCUUAUGUCGUGAUGGCUCGUAUAUAAAUACACACUCUUUUUCCCACGACUCUUUAUGAAAUUCCUGACUAUAUAUAAUCCUUUCGAUAAUUAAUGAGCAUGGGUUCAUCCCACAUUGGCGAUUCCGUGUAUUAUUACAAAUCCAUUAAAAUUAUUUUGUAUAUGAACUAAAA
Priapulus caudatus is the source of this 930-nucleotide RNA transcript. It is a transcript of the gene named hemerythrin subunit A-like, with no coding region annotated. The record is from RefSeq and is a predicted model, not a curated record. Lineage: Eukaryota; Metazoa; Priapulida; Priapulimorpha; Priapulimorphida; Priapulidae. The transcript is spliced from 4 exons.